GGGGAAUAUUGCACAAUGGAGUAAACUCUGAUGCAGCGACGCCGCGUGAACGAUGAAGGCCUUCGGGUUGUAAACCUCUUUCAGCAGGGAAGAAGCGAAAGUGACGGUACCUGCAGAAGAAGCGCCGGCUAACUACGUGCCAGCAGCCGCGGUAAUACGUAGGGGGCAAGCGUUAUCCGGAAUUACUGGGCGUAAAGGGUGCGUAGGCGGUUUAUCAAGUCAGGGGGGAAAGGCUACGGCUCAACCGUAGUGAGCCUCUGAAACUGGUGAACUUGAGUGUAGGAGAGGAAAGUGGAAUUCCCAGUGUAGCGGUGAAAUGCGUAGAUAUUGGGAGGAACACCAGUGGCGAAGGCGACUUUCUGGACUACAACUGACGCUGAGGCACGAAAGCGUGGGGAGCAUACA
Molecule: ribosomal RNA, 405 nt
Filed under: uncultured Acetoanaerobium sp.
Lineage: Bacteria; Bacillati; Bacillota; Clostridia; Peptostreptococcales; Filifactoraceae
Description: bacterial SSU rRNA
Rfam family: Bacterial small subunit ribosomal RNA
Source: RNAcentral